CCCUUAGAGUUUGAUCCUGGCUCAGGAUGAACGCUGGCGGCGCGCCUAACACAUGCAAGUCGAACGGACGAUGAAGAGCUUGCUUUUCAAAGUUAGUGGCGGACGGGUGAGUAACGCGUGGGUAACCUGCCUCAUACAGGGGAAUAGCAGCUGGAAACGGCUGAUAAAACCGCAUAAGCGCACAGUGCCGCAUGGCACAGUGUGAAAAACUCCGGUGGUAUGAGAUGGACCCGCGUCUGAUUAGCUUGUUGGCGGGGUAACGGCCCACCAAGGCGACGAUCAGUAGCCGGCCUGAGAGGGUGAUCGGCCACAUUGGGACUGAGACACGGCCCAAACUCCUACGGGAGGCAGCAGUGGGGAAUAUUGCACAAUGGGGGAAACCCUGAUGCAGCGACGCCGCGUGAAGGAAGAAGUAUCUCGGUAUGUAAACUUCUAUCAGCAGGGAAGAUAAUGA
Molecule: ribosomal RNA, 454 nt
Filed under: uncultured bacterium
Lineage: Bacteria
Description: bacterial SSU rRNA
Rfam family: Bacterial small subunit ribosomal RNA
Source: RNAcentral